CCUAUUAUAGUUUUGAAAAACUUAGGUAUUUCACACCUUAAGCCCAAGCUUAAACCUUGGUAAUAGUA
This 68-nucleotide transfer RNA is filed under the name Colochirus quadrangularis. RNAcentral's name for it is "tRNA-Glu". The record is from RNAcentral. Lineage: Eukaryota; Metazoa; Echinodermata; Holothuroidea; Dendrochirotida; Cucumariidae.